CUAGUCUAGUAACAGAAAGAGUUGAUGGUUAUGGCUAGCGACAGGGCUGUCCAUCGGUUGGUUGAGGCAGCAAAAUUUCCAUAUCCAUGAGGGCGAUGCUAACUGCUAAUUUCAGAGCUCAGGUUCUGCUCCAUGAGGGUUCAGCACAUUCUUUUGGUGGGUUUGUGCACCUCCUUUCAACAGAGGGUUCCUGGGCAAGCAGGGCAAAUGCCCCUGCUCUUGCAGUACUUCGGCACACUGCUAACUCUGGGAAGCUCAAUGCCUUCGAGUCCCUUGAGCUAUCUCCACUCGUCGUCAAUCAGAACAAAAAGAAUCUUCUGGAAAAUUGGUUGGCAGAAGACAAGUUGGAGUGCAGCGAACUGGAUUAUUGAUUGCAUGAAUCUUACUGUACUUUGCCAAAUUACAUGGAACUUUUCUAGUUUUUUCACUAAUCAUGUCUUGUGCCCUUUGAUGUAGACUGUGGAUAAUGAUCUUACACAAAAAAUAUACAUAAAGGCUAGGGCAACCCCUAAAGUUGUUGCUGAUUUUGCUGAAAGUAGUGAGUUUGACAAGAUACUUAUGUACUCGAUAACACCGGAUUGCAGUAGGAUGAUGCAAUUAACACAGGUUCAAUUUUGUUGGGAAAUUCUGAGGAACACGCGCAAGUGGGAGGACGAUUGCAGAGCAAGUGUCACGUUCCUGCUGCAGGUGAAGAAGCUAAUUCGGGAGAUGCUGCUGGUGCAGAUGCUGCUGCUAGCCAAGGUGACUUUAUGCGUGAUGAUGCCAGACCAUCCGAAGUGCAGAUGAGAUACCUAGGCCCAUUGGGAGGGAUGUAGCAAAGAAAAGGCGCAGCCAAGGCGGCUCAGCAUCAUCGACCUUUGCCUGCCUGGAGUUGUUUGAGAAGAUGGCCAAGAACAGAGAAAUCAAGCAUCAACAUUCAUCACUGUGCAGGAGAGACAGCUUGAGUUACAGGAAAAGCAUUACAAUUUCGCGAGGGAUCAGUGGGAAGCAUCUAUUAUGAUGAAGGAUGAUCUCAACACUUGCUCAGAGGUCGCACGUGAGUACUUCAUCAACCUACAGAGGGAGAUACUGGAGAAAAGAUUCAACCGUGGAGGUCGCAGCAGCAGCAAUUAAUCGAAACCUCUACUUCGGCUUGUAUUUUUCGCAUUUGCUUAGGAUAGUUGUUUAUUAUUGAACAAUGUAAAAUGCUGUGAGAUACUUGUGAGAGACUUGUGACAAUAUUAGGCAGCAACUUCCGAUCUGAUUACAGUUGCACCUUUUGUAAUCAAGCAUCAGCAUACUUAUCUGCUA
This is a long non-coding RNA of Panicum virgatum (switchgrass), 1290 nucleotides long. RefSeq lists it as uncharacterized. The record is from RefSeq and is a predicted model, not a curated record. Lineage: Eukaryota; Viridiplantae; Streptophyta; Magnoliopsida; Poales; Poaceae. The transcript is spliced from 2 exons.